Molecule: transfer RNA, 85 nt
Filed under: Azotobacter chroococcum
Lineage: Bacteria; Pseudomonadati; Pseudomonadota; Gammaproteobacteria; Pseudomonadales; Pseudomonadaceae
Description: tRNA-Leu
Rfam family: tRNA
About the family: Transfer RNA (tRNA) molecules are approximately 80 nucleotides in length. Their secondary structure includes four short double-helical elements and three loops (D, anti-codon, and T loops).
Source: RNAcentral
GCGGAUGUGGUGGAAUUGGUAGACACACUGGAUUUAGGUUCCAGCGCCGAAAGGCGUAAGAGUUCGAGUCUCUUCAUCCGCACCA